GUUCUUGCCUGCCCAGUGACUAUAAGUUUAACGGCCGCGGUAUUUUGACCGUGCAAAGGUAGCGCAAUCACUUGUCUUUUAAAUAAAGACCUGUAUGAAUGGUGGAACGAGGGCUUAACUGUCUCCCUCAUCUAGUCAAUGAAAUUGAUCUACCCGUGCAGAAGCGGGUAUAAAAAUACAAGACGAGAAGACCCUUUGGAGCUUAAGACAAAAGACCAACUAUGUCAAAAGUCCUAAAAAUGAGACUAAACCAAAUAAUACUGGUCCCAGUCUUCGGUUGGGGUGACCGCGGGAGAAAAUAAAGCUCCCAUGUGGACAGGGGAAAACCCCUAGAACUAAGAGAGACAUCUCUAAGACACAGAACAUCUGACCAUAAAGAUCCGGCUAUAUGCCGACCAACGGACCAAGUUACCCUAGGGAUAACAGCGCAAUCCCCUUCCAGAGUCCAUAUCGACAAGGGGGUUUACGACCUCGAUGUUGGAUCAGGACAUCCUAAUGGUGCAGCCGCUAUUAAGGGUUCGUUUGUUCAACGAUUAAAGUCCU
Molecule: ribosomal RNA, 543 nt
Filed under: Neoplecostomus paranensis
Lineage: Eukaryota; Metazoa; Chordata; Actinopteri; Siluriformes; Loricariidae
Description: partial 16S ribosomal RNA
Rfam family: Bacterial large subunit ribosomal RNA
Source: RNAcentral